AAUUUUCGACAAUGGGGGAAACCCUGAUCCAGCCAUCCCGCGAGUAUGAUGACGGCCUUCGGGUUGUAAAGUACUUUUGGCAGAGAAGAAAAGGUAUCUUCUAAUACGAGAUACUGCUGACGGUAUCUGCUGAAUAAGCACCGGCAUACUACGUUCCAGCAGCUGCGGUAUUACGUAGGGUGCAAGCGUUAAUCUGAAUUACUGGGCGUAAAGCGUGUGUAGGCGGUUCGGAAAGAAAGAUGUGAAAUCCCAGGGAUCAACCUUGGAACUGCAUUUUUAACUGCCGAGCUAGAGUAUGUCAGAGGGGGGUAGAAUUCCACGUGUAGCAGUGAAAUGCGUAGAUAUGUGGAGGAAUACCGAUGGCGAAGGCAGCCCCCUGGGAUAAUACUGACGCUCAGACACGAAAGCGUGGGGAGCAAACA
RNAcentral lists this ribosomal RNA (422 nucleotides) under uncultured bacterium. RNAcentral's name for it is "partial 16S ribosomal RNA". It matches the Rfam family "Bacterial small subunit ribosomal RNA", at positions 360 to 774 of the family's 1533-position model. The record is from RNAcentral.